RNAcentral lists this long non-coding RNA (312 nucleotides) under Elaeis guineensis (African oil palm). RNAcentral describes it as "long non-coding RNA (EGUI_LNC047439)". Lineage: Eukaryota; Viridiplantae; Streptophyta; Magnoliopsida; Arecales; Arecaceae. The record is from RNAcentral.
UAUGCAUCCAUGUAUCAACCUGACUUUGACACCAGUUGAAGGAAAAAUCCGAUCAGGAUCGGAUUGUCAGGAUACAUCUGAAAAUUUUUCUAUUCAAAAGGUUAAUAUAACAUUUAUCUUUAUCUGAAACACAAUGGAAUAGGGAUCAAAAUCCCUAAGGAUUCCUUAAAUCUGAUGCCUCAUGAGGUUUGAACGCAAAGAUCCUCUACUUCGCGCGCAGGCCAGACUUCGUAGGAAAGAUGGAUGAAGCUCGAGGUGUUGAUCUCUCAGAAGGGUAGUAGGGAGAAGCCGUUAAGAUCAGAUCUCACAGCC